RNAcentral lists this ribosomal RNA (3638 nucleotides) under Triticum aestivum (bread wheat). Its description in RNAcentral is "partial small subunit ribosomal RNA". Lineage: Eukaryota; Viridiplantae; Streptophyta; Magnoliopsida; Poales; Poaceae. The record is from RNAcentral.
CCAACGAGGUAGGCCGACCGAUGUCACACUCCGUUAGUUAGGUAGACUGCUUGCCGGGUGCCUGCUUCAGCUCCACCCCCGCACUGCUGGGGCGUAGUCGAGGGAGAAGAAGGGUAGGUGAGUUGGAUUGUGUGUCGUAGGUAGGGGGCGGGCCGGCGCGAGUUAGGCGUGGGGGUGACAAAGGUCCAGGCUAAAAGACGGGGCCUAGGAACGAGUCAACGAGGUAGCUAGUGGUACUUCUACGGUUCAAGUAGCACGACUCUCGCCCUGCGACUGUCCACCACCCGCACCACUCGCGCGACGCCCUCCGGUUCAAGCAGGGCGUCUAGCAGUCGCAGCCUGGCCUAGUCCGCUAGCAGUCGCAGCCUGGCCUAGUCCGGCUCUUCUUAGGACUGGCGCAGCGGAGGCAGACCGUCGGGCUGCCCAGAUGAGAUAACAAGGCCAACGUCUCUCUAGCUGUACCUAGACGACGAUGGCGGCUAAUCACGAAGAGAACCACGGUACCCGAGGGAACGUGUGUUCGACCUACGCGAGGAGCUAUGUCUUGUGUUCCUACUCUACCCCUUUGAGCCUUGGGCCGACGACCUCGAGAGGUUCCGUGCUCUGGGAGGGCAAUGUCGCUCCUAGACCUACUUCCUACACGCGCUUGAUAGGAUACUAUACCUCUUGAAACAGCUGUGACUUCUUCUAACCUAGGUGUUGUACAGUGGCAAGUACCCGACACACUUCCUUCGUUUACGUGCCAUGCUCUCCAUGUCCGAACUCUCGCAGGGGUCGGUGUGUAUACAGAAAGGUUAGUAGGUGGUGGCACCGGCCUUCUGUCCAGAUCAGCAGCCGGAAGUACUGUUCCCACCGGGCCAACUAUCCGAGACGGUUAACGACUGGCUACCUCUACUCGUCGAGUUCCACAAUAGGUAACAGCCACAACCUCCCUAGCCCUUCUGGUGCGAACGGUUUGUCGAUACCGCACUCGUGUUUGAGUCCCUGAUGAAGGUGACGGCCCGAAAACACGCCUGCCGGUUCUUUGGUCUGUACUCCUCCUAGGAUUCCUCGUAUGAGCGUGUUCAAGCAGGCGUGGUUGGUGGACUACGAUCGCUCCACCUGCUGGAGUAAGUGCUAGAGUGGCUCGUAGAUGUCCUAUUUUCCAUAUAAUAAUAUUAACUACUGUAUACCCUAUGUAGUCAUACCCUACAACGAUGUACACGAAAGGGUCUCCCAUUAGUACCUUCGUCCUAUUAUUGUUGUUGUCUUUAACUCCUACAACGGGAUCGUACGACAUCAAUGGUCAGGUUCAUGUAUAAAUUCUACCUCGGUGAGUCACAGUCAGUUAGUUUUGUUAACAAGUGGUUACGUCACAAACCGAGACCUUUUCUCUUUAGAGGAGUUAAUCUACUUCACAGUCUACUCUAAUAUUCUUAUACACUACCAAAUGGUGUCCGUUAAUAGUCGUAUAGGUCACAAGAUCAUUCGGUAUCCCUUCGUUUACGUCAUCUCUUGACCCUCGUGCAUGUCUUGUUAAACGGUUGUUCAUGUUGAAGGCUGCUCUAUGACUUGAAAACGAUGUUAUCAGAAGGGUCAACACAAGUCUGUACAGACAACAUAGAACCGUAUAUGGGCCUCUUGAUAUAUUAGAACUUCCUUCUAUAUUACUUCGUUACCCAUCGACUUACAAAAUAGGCACGUGGUUGUCUCUUUCUUUUUUACCUUCACCGGCCCUCGAUAAAACUAUACGAACAUUUAUACCCGUACUAGGUUGUAUAUCUGCAUCUGAUAUCGUUACGCCAUAACAUGAUACGUCACUUAGUGUACCAUGUACUAGAAUAAUGAAGAUUCAGGUAUCUUCUAUUAAAAUAGUGACACUAUCUAAUAAGAGUCUCCGUUAACGCCGAAAGAUUGUUCCAAUCAGCAAACAGGGAGGUCAAACCGCCGCGUGGUAAACGUUGAUGUGGUCGUUCAUGACCUGAUAGUGUUUAAGCCAGCGAAUGAAAAUAACCUGACUACUCGACGAAAGGAAGUCAACACCUCAAAUUCGAAGAAGCUAAAGACUUGGAAGUAUAAACCUCACUAGUUGGCUCGUGUAUGAAGCUGGAGUCCCAAUAGACACUUAAACAAGACAACUCUAUAAACGUCCAGUGGACGUCGCUGUGGCAUAUAGAAGGUCUAGUCUACGUUCCAGACUUUGUGAACCUUUGUGAACUUUAUUUACGUUCUCAUUAUCAAUAAGGUAGCCUACAACAAGUAGAAGUCUCGAACAACGUAGAGGCAGAGCCUCCACCCUGUCUUGACGGACUACACUGACCAUAUGGGUCUUUACAGUGACACGGAUCACAACGGUUAAAUAACCUACUCAGUUCGUCAGGAGGUUUUAGUCACUACUGUUAGCUCAACAACGGUGGGUAAACAUCUUAGGGGCUCACCUAACCUGUCGAAUUGUUGGAGACGUAAGACUUUCAACAGCAGCCACUUGACGAUUCCCUACUAUAGGUAUAGGACCCUCCUAACGGUCGGGACUGACAAGAGUGUAACGUACAUGUCGCUGCUUGAUGUCUUGAUUAACCGAAGUGUGGAUCUCGUAAAUUACGAGAUCUUAUAAAACUCAAGUCCACACCGCAUGACGCGGACUACAAACUCCUUCCUCGUUACGGGUUAGAAGUCUCCUAAUUCGAUCCAAAGUUAAGAGUGUCUCCUCUUGUCAUGCCAGCAAACGAACACCCGUAACUCGUGGACAGUUUGCAGGUCCUCUAAAGACCUUAUUAACCCAGUUGGCAGCCACGUCUCCUUAUACUGAACGUUCGACGUCUCAGACGUAAGUUCCUACGGUGACCGUUUGUAGUAUCAUUGCAGUCGUAUUUUUCUAGUCUAUAACAACACCUUCUCAUACCAGGAGAUCUUUUUGUCGUAAACCACGCUCCCUUUGUGGGUAGCUGUAGUUCACUUGUAUGACCUUCAGCCUUUGUUCUCAGGGUCGUUCGAUAUUUCGUUUUGAGGGUAUUGUUAAGAGUCAACUAAUCGUCCUCUUCACUACCGUUGUUUGUUCGUUCACACCUCGAUGCCUUACUGGGCGCUAGUAGCCACGUCUUCCACUAGCAUUAGUUCUAUCACCUGUAAUGUCUGUUCGCCACCUUCAGGUCACGGAAGUUUCAGGAAAGCUUCAAGGUACCCUGGUUAAGCCAUCGCCGUUUGCUCCUCCUCCCCUGCGAUUGACACCACCCCCUGGACCUGGGCCACCAGCAUCACGACCGUAAUGUCUUCCGGUUUGAGUUACACGUCUAGCAGUCGUACCCCAGCGUAUAGAAGAGUUACCCGCUCCCCAACUACCUGUUUGGGCUCCCUGCGUUUUACGGACCUGCAUUGGGCGGGCUCCCUGUUGUCUUCGGACUUAGAUUGGGUUGGGUCGACGGCGUGUCAGAGUAGGGGGGCAUGAGGGGAGGGAUGGCCGGUGGGGGGAUGGCAGUUGUGGCUGUGCUCCAGGUGGUCAGGGCCCUCCUGGGGUUGAGUACACAGUAGGUCACUAAAAAAAACGUACCCAUAACACCUAACAUAAGUAGUAUUUAUUACAAUCUCGUAGAUGUCGGCCUGGAGAGUUUGGACGGAGUAUACAGACCUGUACGACGGACCAGUGCAAAAAAGUUGAGUCU